Molecule: ribosomal RNA, 543 nt
Filed under: uncultured fungus
Lineage: Eukaryota; Fungi
Description: SSU rRNA
Rfam family: Eukaryotic small subunit ribosomal RNA
Source: RNAcentral
GGAGGGCAAGUCUGGUGCCAGCAGCCGCGGUAAUUCCAGCUCCAAUAGCGUAUAUUAAAGUUGUUGCAGUUAAAAAGCCCGUAGUUGAACUUCAGGCCUGGCCGGGCGGUCUGCCUAGCGGUAUGURCUGUCUGGCCGGGUCUUACCUCUUGGUGAGCCGGCAUGCCCUUCACUGGGUGUGUCGGGGAAYCAGGAUUUUUACCUUGAGAAAAUUAGAGUGUUCAAAGCAGGCUAUUGCCUGAAUACAUUAGCAUGGAAUAAUAAAAUAGGACGUGUGAUUCUAUUUUGUUGGUUUCUAGAGUCGCCGUAAUGAUUAAUAGGGAUAGUUGGGGGCAUUUGUAUUGCGUUGCUAGAGGUGAAAUUCUUGGAUUUAYGCAAGACAAACUACUGCGAAAGCAUUUGCCAAGGAUGUUUUCAUUAAUCAAGGACGAAGGUUAGGGGAUCGAAAACGAUUAGAUACCGUUGUAGUCUUAACAGUAAACUAUGCCGACUAGGGAUCGGACGACCUCACAUUUAUGUGUCGKUCGGCGCCUUACGGGAAAC